UGAGUGGAGUUUGAGUGACAUUAGUGGUGUCAACGGUGGUGUUGAAAAUCAAUGGUCAUUUUUGGUGUUUGAACCAAAUCAUAUCGAUGUCAGUCUGGAAAAACGUUUUGCAAACUCGCUUAGAAAAAUGUUCGCAGAAACCGUUUUGUGUAGACUUUUGGAUUGUUUCACAAACUCGCUUUAUAAGCAUUCGUGGAAACGAAUCAUUUUAAUAACGUUUUAAGAAUAUAUCAAAAAUGUUUUGAGAUAAUGCUAGAAAAGAAUCCGCAGAGUGUUAUGAAAUAAAUAAGAAACGUUUCGGGGAAAUGCUAUAAAGCAAAUCACAAACACGUUUAAAGAAGAACAA
RNAcentral lists this long non-coding RNA (346 nucleotides) under Brassica napus (rape). RNAcentral's name for it is "long non-coding RNA (BNAP_LNC024488)". The record is from RNAcentral. Lineage: Eukaryota; Viridiplantae; Streptophyta; Magnoliopsida; Brassicales; Brassicaceae.